GUAGACGAAGGCGCUCCAUGACUCCGGGAUCCGCUGCUGGACUUGGGAUCCGGGGCUUAAGGUGAAAUCGAGGUACAUUGUCGGAGUCUGGGUGUAGACCGGCGACUGGACGCCGAAGGAUUCUCCGGCAAUGAUGCGGACGGCGCAGCAGGCAUUUCUGAGUGAAUAAUUCCUUUACCAGCAGUCAUCCACUGAGGAAAUUAGAAGUCAUGACCCAUCAAAUGCAGUACGGAGGUGAACUGAUGAAAUAUUAUUAUUCAAUAAGCUCGAGGAGUGAUGAUCAUCAAUAGUACCUGCAGAUCUCCAGCUCUGAUGGUGCCUUUAUGCCCUGCAAAAUCCUGGUCUUACAUCGCUUUUUCUUGAAUAAACAAGUAGUUACCAUCGGGAACAAAUGGACGGCAACUUCAUUAAAAAACCACUAGAAGAUGGCUGGAUUUUGAUGUUAAAAAAAUAAAAAAAAUCGAUAUUUCUUAUCCUCUAGGAAGGCUAGCUUGGAAAGAUUGAUUGACUAAAAUUUCAGGUUUAGGUUUAGACCUUUUGCAACAAGGACACCAAUGGGUUUACAAUCUUGCAGGUGGAAUCUUUUGAGAAUUUUCUUGAAGUAUAUCUCUUGCAAAAGAGGUUGAAUUUGAUGCAUCCAGCUUCCCACAACAACAGUGUGGAGGAUGACGUUGACAACGCUCCUUGACAGUUCUGAAAGAAACAGGAAUUUAACAAUUAAGUUUCAAAAUUUUUUAAAUCAAGACCAUAUUUUUUAUUUCAGCAAUUGACCAACAGUUGAAAUUAUCAAGAUGCAUUUAACUUUUUGGAUUUUUUUUUUUUAAAAAUACACUUAUUCCUUA
Molecule: long non-coding RNA, 842 nt
Organism: Zingiber officinale
Lineage: Eukaryota; Viridiplantae; Streptophyta; Magnoliopsida; Zingiberales; Zingiberaceae
Exons: 5
Source: RefSeq, a predicted model, not a curated record